GGGAAGUCCUUUAGCAUUUGUCAUCUUAUACCAAUGACAGCAUGUCAGAAGCCUGGAUUUGGGAGCACAAGCUCCUACUCUUCUUUCAAAGCCUUGCAGAACUGUGGAGCUCUCUGGAGGCCUCUCCACAGAGUCCCAGGGAGUCAUUCCAAGCUAGUUAUUCCUACAGCAAGUGUUUCUUAAAAUGCUGUUCUCAUUCCUAUUCUUUAGAAUAAUCUGGGUGAUCUUGUUAAGCCUGCACUCCAUCACAGAUCUGCUAAGUCAGAGUCUUUGGACAUAUGGCCCUGGGGUAUUCCAUUUCUAACCCACUCCUUAGUUGAUUCUUACACACACUGACGUUUGAGAAUUACUGCUAUGGCCCUUUGUACCAUCAUUAGCUUAAAUCUUGAAGUUUCAUGUACAUGUCUUAUUAUUUCCAUUAGACUGAAUAUCUUGCAAACAGGAGCCAUAUAUGAAUAGCCAUAUUCUCCAAACUGGGUACAAUUCCUGGAACAUAGUAGAUUUUUGCUAAGAGUUCUCACAACUGUAAGAGUUCCCUAUAUAUGACCAUAUCCAGAUGAAUAUGUUGGUUGAACCCAAACAACAUAUUCUAUUUCUCUAUUGCCGUAUAACUACUUACCACAGAAACUGGCACAGUGUCACUUCCAAUUAAUUCCAUUGGUCAAACAGUCAUAGAGCAUGUCCAGAUUCAAGGCUUGGGGGACAAAGACCCCACCUCUCAUUGAAGGAACAUUGAAUUUUUGGCCAUCUUUAAUCUACCACACAGUCCCUGCCAAAGUCUAUUAAAAACAGACUGGGUAUAAUUCUUUAAUCUGACUUUAUGAGCAUUUCAAAGAGGCAAAUAAACCAAUCAUGUUUUGUGGCCUAGGAAAUAGAGUUCAGAAGACAUGAGACAAGGUAUUUAAAAAGAAAGAAAGAAAAAUCCAAAGAUAUUUCUAGUGCCUAUGGCCCUUUAUAGUUUAGUCCAAUUAAAUUGGUCACAGGCCUUUUGAACUACAUUUGAGUCCCAUUGUGGCCUCCAGUAGUUCCUUCCCCAGAAGGUAAAUGGACAUGUCAAUGGUGGUGAAUGAAAUAAUUGAUACCCUUUAUCAGUUUUAAGACAAGGUCAGAAAUUGGAGCUGCGAAAGUUUUAGAAAGUUCUAGGAAUAGGCCCAGGGUAUUUAGCCCAGGAAUCUUCUACUAUAGGAAUACUCUUAGUUUGCCUUCUUGGGGUUUGCAACUCUGGAUGUCUCUUAAUUGCAAAUUCUUUUCUCUCUCUCUCUCUCUCUCCCCCCCACCCUACACACCCCCUUCUCCCCUCCCUUUUUUUUUUUUUUUUUUUUCUAUUCUAUCCACAUGGCUAAAUAAGACACCUGGUCUUUCCCUCACCCAUCCAAUUCUAUGGCCGGACAAAGUACAUGGCCUAGAAAAUUGACAUGAAGUCAACCAAGAUGGUAAACUAUAAGGUAGUCAAAGUAAAGAACUUUAAUUGGUCAACACAGAAACUGAAAUAAGUAGUCCUUGUGAAGCUAGGUUAACAAAUGGCAAUUCAGCUAAAAGCUCUUUUGUUGAGCUUGAGAAUUCUUGACUAAGGGGUAGGAGUCAUAAAGUGCUUUAUGAGUCAUGAGAAGGUCAAAGAUCACCUUUCAACUUUUCAAACUAGCCCUGGCUACUUAUGGUAGCUUUUCUUUUUUCCCUCCACACACCCUCCCCCACCCACCAGUUUCAUCGUCUAUGUCCACUUCACAGUGUAUCUGUAAUGAAUUUGGAUCCAUUUCAAAGAAUACAUAGAAAAUCUUCAGCUCCCAAAGCAGGCUGCUCUGUAGGAGGGAAAGAGUAAGGAAAACACCCUAGGGCAGUUCUUUAUUUCCAAAAGAUUAAAAAUAAUUAAACAUUAAGAUAUUCAACAUGGAUUAUUGCAGACAGUGAUGAAUGGCUCUUCUCCCCGUAAUGAUGCCCUCCUCUAAGCUAAUCUUACCCAACCUCAUUUCAAAGAAAAUGUUGGUUAAUGCUUUAUUUGUUUCAUUCCAUGUACUCUUAAGUAAAUCAGGGUUAUAAUUGCCCUGAAUUCAUAACAACUAACUGCCUCCCUCUUUGCCUUCUUGGAAUAACUGAGUGUGAAAGAAAGAAGAUAUUUUCAGAGGCAUUAGUACUUAUCUGAGAAUUAUCUAUCUACCCAAGUCAGUAAAGCAAAGGCCAGCCACUAUGCCACUGUUGGAAGCCAGAGGUCAAAGCAUGAGUAUCUCCCAGGCAGUGUGUCUAGCACUGUCUCCACCACAAAAUAGGUACUCAAGAAAUAUUGGCUGCCUGUAGAAGCAAUUUGUUUCCUCUUUCAAAGUGGGAAAGUGAAUCCUGUUCAUAGGGACAAAAACUAAGAUAAAGCAGAGGCAAUAUUUUUGCUACUGCUCCCAUAAGAGUACUCAGAUUUCAAAGGAGCUUGUACAUUUAUUCAACAAGUGUUUACUAAGCUCCUACUAUGUGCUAGACUCUGGAUUCCAUUGUUCUAAUGGCAGUGGCAGCAAAUUGUAAAUAAAUAAUUACUCCAUUAGACAGGAGAUAGCAGUUUUGUCUCACUUAGAUAGUGCUUAGAACAUUGAGGUACUCCAGAAAUACUGGUUGAAUGGAUAACAAUACUAAAACAACAACAGCUACAGAUUAUUCAGAGCAUGACACCCCCAAAACUCAUGACCUUUAGUUUUAAUGCAGCAGUCCCUUGGAAGCCCAAGGCAUUUUGAAGGAAUGGUAGGUAUUCUUGGGUCAUUUACUUUCAACUGUAGAAAUGUAACAAAAGCAAGAAUUUUAGCCCUACGUCUUUCUUUCUCUUAAGGUGGUCAUGCAGAGAACUUUUUGCACUGGGAAAGUCAGGAGGUUCAUUUGAAAGAUGACAAUUUACCAAAACCAUGUAGAGGUUUUCCUAAGCUGCCCACCUCGACCUCCCAAACCACUAGAAUUACAGGCAUGAGCCACCGCACCCAACCGUGCUACAAUUUUUCUGUUCCACCUAGUAUAAUGACCUAUACUGGAUAGAAAAAAAGUUAUUGAAUGAAUACAUGAUUGAUCCCAGAGGAGUGACUUGCCAACUCGACAGCUUUAAGGGUUAGUGUAAUACCUAUGGAUGUCUAACUUCCUUAAGGAAAGUGGUGGUGUCAUAAAGAGAUGGGGCAGAAGAUAAUCUCAUGAUUCCCAGCUGAUUUUUUUAGCCCUCCUUGCAAAUGACUGUUUUGAGUCUCUAAAAACUACUAACUACUGCCACUACUAAUUACUUUUGCUCAUCAGUCCUUGAUGUUGGCAACUUCACUGAAUACUUUGACACUUACUUCUUCUUGUCAUCCCUCACUCCUAAAACUGAACUUCAACUGUAAACUAUAAAAAGAAUAUUUUUUACCUGCAUGUCACCAUUAUGGAUACAUGUAGUAAUAAAACUUACUGCUCACUUAGUGCAUUUGUUGCUAUAGCACUCAAUUCCUAUCUCUUCAAUUCUCCUUGCUGCUAAUUCAUUCAUUCACUCACUCAUUAACUAUCCGAGCAUCUCCCAUGCACACUGGGUAUUCAGCAGUGGUUAAACCCAUUGCCUCCCUCAAGGAGCUUACAAUUAGGAGAAGCAAACAAGUCAGCAGGCAGUUACUGAGAAAGUUAAUAUCCACCUUUUCCACAUUUGUGGUUCUGCAGACAUCAUCUGGGAAAUGAAGAAAUUUACAAAAAAAAAAAAAAAAAUCCCUUCCUUCCAUAGCGUCUAAGUAAAGAGAAUCAUUUGGAAGGCUACAAGUAUGUCAUGGUAAAAAUGUGUACCUAAUUUAACGAAUGCAAUUUUAUGCAUUCUCUAUUUGUGGUAACCACAGUCUAUAUUCCUUUCCAUCUGUUUUCAAGUUGAAGUGUGACCACUGCUAAAGUGAAGGCCCACUUCUUUUUUGUUCUUUCUAGUCUUUUUCCUCCAUUUGAUUUACUCUCAUUGACCCAGAGUUCACUUCCGAAAGGGCGUAUUAAUGAAAGUGGGCUCCCCAUAGGACUAGGGAGCGGUAAGCAUGGCAAGGAGAGAUAACAGCAGUCUUAGAGGUCAGCAAAAGAGGGAUGUACAAUUAAUUCCACUCCCUUCCCUCAUUACAGUGAAAAGUCUGAACACCUUGGAGAAUACCACUUGUGGAGGAGAGAAGCUGGCCCUUUACCUUGGCUAUUAGCACUUAUUCCUAUACCAUCAUCGAGAGAAAGAUAAGUCAGUUACUAAUUCUGUCUACUCCCUUCACCCCCAAUAAUUGACAAGAGAUCUCUUUGGAAACUCAACAUGAUACAGCUAGAUUCAGGUGAAAGACAGAGGUAGGUGUCAACCUUUUUCCUGCAAAUCUAUGCAAAUACUCUAUUGCCCCAUCCCUUCUUUAAAAUGUAACUGGAAGACACAACCAACCAACCAACCAACCAAAAAACAAUACAACACCCUAAGUGCAAAUGGAACAAAGACUCUUGGUGUUAGUUAGAUGAAGGAUUCCAGUGUGAGGGGUUUUCAAGCUUCUUGCUGGACUUCGAGAUCUCCUAGUGCGUAUAAGCACAAACUGGUUUUUGCAGUAACUUAUGGAUCUCAGAAGGCUGUAGAAUUAGCAGGCCUUGCGUGAGAAUGUUGUUCCAUUAUUUACUCACAGUAGUCACAUAGAAGCCCACAGGAGCUGUCAAGGCCAGCAUUAGACUGAGCUUGCAAGCAGAACUGUUCUUUCUUACAUCUUGUUCAGAGGCCCUUUCUAAAGAAAUCAUCACCACAUAUUUAAAAUAUGAUGGGCUUGGUCUGACUUCAUUUUGGGUGGUGCAAAACUUUGUCCAUUUUUUUCCAAUUUGGGAAAAUUAUAGUACUGGCAUUGCAGUUAACCCUGGGAGGCUCGCUCUUUACUCCCCUCCCACAUUUAUAGAUUGUUCCAUUCAUACUUAGUUUCCUCUUCCAAAGAAGCAUGGAUUCAUUGUUCCACCAUUACACUAUUCAGUUUCUGCCAGUUAAGUGGUAACAAUUUUCAACUGUUUCAGUGAUGGCUCUUUUCUUUUUAACUUCUAGAGCCAUAUACCACAAUUCUGAGGUUGGUCAUCAUUGGAUUACAGCUGGGAUUUGUCUGGUCUAGACUUAGGUGUCAAAUACAUGGAGAAAAAAGAGCAGCAACAGCCAAGGGCAUUCAUGACAUCUUUGUACACUUCUAAACCUCAGUAAUUUAGGUUGUAACCCUG
Molecule: long non-coding RNA, 5178 nt
Filed under: Homo sapiens (human)
Lineage: Eukaryota; Metazoa; Chordata; Mammalia; Primates; Hominidae
Description: non-protein coding lnc-PIK3R1-3:2
Source: RNAcentral